Long non-coding RNA from Balaenoptera musculus (blue whale), 262 nucleotides. RefSeq lists it as uncharacterized. The record is from RefSeq and is a predicted model, not a curated record. The transcript is spliced from 3 exons. NCBI's taxonomy places the organism in Eukaryota, Metazoa, Chordata, Mammalia, Artiodactyla, Balaenopteridae.
CUAUGGAAAUAAGAAACUGCCUGACUAAAAAGGACUAAUUAUUUCUUCAGCAGCUGAAUGUCUCAGCCUUGCAUGAGGGCAAGGACAAAUGCUCUGCACCCACCCUUGGCCCGUCUGGUAUUUGAUGGAACUCAUGAAAGUGGGUGAACCUAACUUGCCCCUCUUCUAUAGGAUGCAGUGAAUGCAUAUGUGACUGUGACUUUUCAGAGAAGGAAACCGAGGCUUACAGAAGCUCUGUGUGAUCACAUUUCCACAAUUCACA